Molecule: long non-coding RNA, 223 nt
Organism: Haliotis rubra (blacklip abalone)
Lineage: Eukaryota; Metazoa; Mollusca; Gastropoda; Lepetellida; Haliotidae
Exons: 3
Source: RefSeq, a predicted model, not a curated record
GUAGCUACCGAUCUCAGCAAAACGACGCCAUUGUUGAUGCUAAUAUUUUUGCUGUAUCUCGCCAUUCUUGGUCAAUAUCUACCUUCGAUUUUGACGAUCGCUUGAGUUUUUCCCCAUACAGUCCAGCAGUUACGUUCAAGAGACCAUGUUUCACCAGUCGUCCACCCCUGCUGCCACUCCUGUGCCACGUCGAUCCAGGAAUAUCAGUCGUGGGAAGGAUACA